This 86-nucleotide transfer RNA is filed under the name Alphaproteobacteria bacterium. RNAcentral describes it as "tRNA-Leu". It matches the Rfam family "tRNA". Rfam says of the family: Transfer RNA (tRNA) molecules are approximately 80 nucleotides in length. Their secondary structure includes four short double-helical elements and three loops (D, anti-codon, and T loops). Further hydrogen bonds mediate the characteristic L-shaped molecular structure. tRNAs have two regions of fundamental functional importance: the anti-codon, which is responsible for specific mRNA codon recognition, and the 3' end, to which the tRNAs corresponding amino acid is attached (by aminoacyl-tRNA synthetases). tRNAs cope with the degeneracy of the genetic code in two manners: having more than one tRNA (with a specific anti-codon) for a particular amino acid; and 'wobble' base-pairing, i.e. permitting non-standard base-pairing at the 3rd anti-codon position. RNAcentral also lists the same sequence under 1 other name. Lineage: Bacteria; Pseudomonadati; Pseudomonadota; Alphaproteobacteria. The record is from RNAcentral.
GCCCUGGUGGCGGAAUUGGUAGACGCGCAUGCUUCAGGUGCAUGUUGGCUCAGCCAGUGGAAGUUCGAGUCUUCUCCAGGGCACCA